UGUCACUGAUUAAUGUGUACUAUGGGGAGCAAGAGAUAAGAGACCUAAGUGCAAUUUCAAGGAUGAGACCUUAGACUAUGUUCAAACAGCACAGCGGAUGCCUGUUGCAGCUUUAUAGCAUAAUGUCUCUCAAACUGUGGAUUCCUUCCUGAUUUCUCCAG
This is a long non-coding RNA of Lagopus leucura (white-tailed ptarmigan), 161 nucleotides long. RefSeq lists it as uncharacterized. The record is from RefSeq and is a predicted model, not a curated record. NCBI's taxonomy places the organism in Eukaryota, Metazoa, Chordata, Aves, Galliformes, Phasianidae. The transcript is spliced from 3 exons.